ACUGAGUGGCAGACGGGUGAGUAACAUGUGGGAAUCUGCCUUGUGGUUCAGGACAACAUUGGGAAACCGAUGCUAAUACUGGAUAAGCCCUUACGGGGAAAGUUUUAAUGCCAUAAGAUGAGCCCGCAUUUGAUUAGUUAGUUGGUGAGGUAAUGGCUCACCAAGACAAUGAUCAAUAGCUGAUCUGAGAGGAUGAUCAGCCACACUGGGACUGAGACACGGCCCAGACUCCUACGGGAGGCAGCAGUGGGGAAUCUUGCACAAUGGAGGAAACUCUGAUGCAGCGAUGCCGCGUGAGUGAAGAAGGCCUUUGGGUUGUAAAGCUCUUUUGUAGGGGAAGAUAAUGACUGUACCCUAAGAAUAAGGUCCGGCUAACUUCGUGCCAGCAGCCGCGGUAAUACGAAGGGACCUAGCGUAGUUCGGAAUUACUGGGCGUAAAGCGCGCGUAGGCCGUUGAGUUAGUUAAUUGUGAAAUCCCAAAGCUUAACUUUGGAACUGCAAUUAAAACUGCUCGACUAGAGUUUGAUAGAGGAAAGCGGAAUACAUAGUGUAGAGGUGAAAUUCGUAGAUAUUAUGUAGAACACCAGUUGCGAAGGCGGCUUUCUGGAUCAACACUGACGCUGAGGCGCGAAAGUAUGGGUAGCAAAGAGGAUUAGAUACCCUCGUAGUCCAUACCAUAAACGAUGAUUGCUAGAUGUUGGAAAUUUAUUUUCAGUAUCGCAGCUAACGCAUUAAGCAAUCCGCCUGGGGAGUACGAC
RNAcentral lists this ribosomal RNA (758 nucleotides) under uncultured bacterium. Its description in RNAcentral is "bacterial SSU rRNA". It matches the Rfam family "Bacterial small subunit ribosomal RNA", at positions 90 to 886 of the family's 1533-position model. The record is from RNAcentral.